This 172-nucleotide unclassified non-coding RNA is filed under the name uncultured Ascomycota. RNAcentral describes it as "sequence contains ITS2". Lineage: Eukaryota; Fungi; Ascomycota. The record is from RNAcentral.
CAACCCUCGGGCCCCCGCGGCCCGGUGUUGGGGAUCUGCCCUCACCCGGCAGGCCCUGAAAAGCAGUGGCGGACCCGCCCCGGCCCCGGCGUCGUAGUAAUAACGACGCGCCGGCGGCCUCGGCGCUUCCGGCCUCUAAACCCCCCACAAGCCCGCUCCUGCGGCACCAAGG